Molecule: ribosomal RNA, 2893 nt
Filed under: Acinetobacter baumannii
Lineage: Bacteria; Pseudomonadati; Pseudomonadota; Gammaproteobacteria; Moraxellales; Moraxellaceae
Description: 23S ribosomal RNA
Rfam family: Bacterial large subunit ribosomal RNA
Source: RNAcentral
AGUCAAGUAAUUAAGUGCAUGUGGUGGAUGCCUUGGCAGUCAGAGGCGAUGAAAGACGUGAUAGCCUGCGAAAAGCUCCGGGGAGGCGGCAAAUAUCCUUUGAUCCGGAGAUGUCUGAAUGGGGGAACCCACCUACUUUAAGGUAGGUAUUGCAACAUGAAUACAUAGUGUUGCAAGGCGAACGAGGGGAAGUGAAACAUCUCAGUACCCUUAGGAAAAGAAAUCAAUUGAGAUUCCCUCAGUAGCGGCGAGCGAACGGGGAUCAGCCCAUUAAGUUAUGUGUGUUUUAGUGGAACGCUCUGGGAAGUGCGAACGUAGAGGGUGAUAUUGCCGUACACGAAAGGGCACACAUAAUGAUGACGAGUAGGGCGAGGCACGUGAAACCUUGUCUGAAUAUGGGGGGACCAUCCUCCAAGGCUAAAUACUCCUGACUGACCGAUAGUGAACCAGUACCGUGAGGGAAAGGCGAAAAGAACCCCUGUGAGGGGAGUGAAAUAGAUCCUGAAACCGCAUGCAUACAAGCAGUGGGAGCACCUUCGUGGUGUGACUGCGUACCUUUUGUAUAAUGGGUCAGCGACUUAUAUUCAGUAGCGAGGUUAACCGUAUAGGGGAGCCGUAGAGAAAUCGAGUCUUAAUAGGGCGUUUAGUUGCUGGGUAUAGACCCGAAACCAGGCGAUCUAUCCAUGAGCAGGUUGAAGGUUGGGUAACACUAACUGGAGGACCGAACCCACUGUCGUUGAAAAGCCAGGGGAUGACUUGUGGAUAGGGGUGAAAGGCUAAUCAAGCCUGGUGAUAGCUGGUUCUCCCCGAAAGCUAUUUAGGUAGCGCCUCGGACGAAUACCAUAGGGGGUAGAGCACUGUUUCGGCUAGGGGGUCAUCCCGACUUACCAAACCGAUGCAAACUCCGAAUACCUAUGAGUACUAUCCGGGAGACAGACUGCGGGUGCUAACGUCCGUAGUCAAGAGGAAAACAAUCCAGACCGCCAGCUAAGGCCCCAAAAUCAUAGUUAAGUGGGAAACGAUGUGGGAAGGCAUAGACAGCUAGGAGGUUGGCUUAGAAGCAGCCACCCUUUAAAGAAAGCGUAAUAGCUCACUAGUCGAGUCGGCCUGCGCGGAAGAUGUAACGGGGCUAAAACUAUGUGCCGAAGCUGCGGAUGUAUACUUUGUAUACGUGGUAGGGGAGCGUUCUGUAAGCCGAUGAAGGUGUGUUGAGAAGCAUGCUGGAGGUAUCAGAAGUGCGAAUGCUGACGUGAGUAACGACAAAACGGGUGAAAAACCCGUUCGCCGAAAGACCAAGGGUUCCAGUCCAACGUUAAUCGGGGCUGGGUGAGUCGACCCCUAAGGCGAGGCCGAAAGGCGUAGUCGAUGGGAAAAUGGUUAAUAUUCCAUUACUUCUGUGUAAUGCGAUGAGAGGACGGAGAAGGCUAAAUCAGCCUGGCGUUGGUUGUCCAGGUGAAAGGAUGUAGGCAUGUAUCUUAGGCAAAUCCGGGGUACUCUAUGCUGAGAUCUGAUAGCAAGCUGUACUUGUACAGCGAAGUGGUUGAUGCCAUGCUUCCAGGAAAAGUCUCUAAGCUUCAGUUACACAGGAAUCGUACCCGAAACCGACACAGGUGGUCAGGUCGAGUAGACCAAGGCGCUUGAGAGAACUCUGCUGAAGGAACUAGGCAAAAUGGUACCGUAACUUCGGGAGAAGGUACGCUGUUGUUGGUGAUGGAACUCGCUUCCUGAGCUGACGACAGCCGCAGAAACCAGGCCGCUGCAACUGUUUAUUAAAAACAUAGCACUCUGCAAACACGAAAGUGGACGUAUAGGGUGUGAUGCCUGCCCGGUGCUGGAAGGUUAAUUGAUGGGGUUAGCGUAAGCGAAGCUCUUGAUCGAAGCCCCAGUAAACGGCGGCCGUAACUAUAACGGUCCUAAGGUAGCGAAAUUCCUUGUCGGGUAAGUUCCGACCUGCACGAAUGGCAUAAUGAUGGCGGCGCUGUCUCCAGCAGAGGCUCAGUGAAAUCGAAAUCGCUGUGAAGAUGCAGUGUACCCGCGGCUAGACGGAAAGACCCCGUGAACCUUUACUGCAGCUUGACACUGAACUUUGACCUUACUUGUGUAGGAUAGGUGGGAGGCUUUGAAGCUGGAACGCUAGUUCCAGUGGAGCCGUCCUUGAAAUACCACCCUGGUAAUGUUGAGGUUCUAACUCUGUCCCGUGAUCCGGGACGAGGACCGUGUCUGGUGGGUAGUUUGACUGGGGCGGUCUCCUCCUAAAGAGUAACGGAGGAGUACGAAGGUGCGCUCAGCGUGGUCGGAAAUCACGCGUAGAGUAUAAAGGCAAAAGCGCGCUUAACUGCGAGACCCACAAGUCGAGCAGGUACGAAAGUAGGUCUUAGUGAUCCGGUGGUUCUGUAUGGAAGGGCCAUCGCUCAACGGAUAAAAGGUACUCUGGGGAUAACAGGCUGAUACCGCCCAAGAGUUCAUAUCGACGGCGGUGUUUGGCACCUCGAUGUCGGCUCAUCUCAUCCUGGGGCUGAAGCAGGUCCCAAGGGUAUGGCUGUUCGCCAUUUAAAGAGGUACGCGAGCUGGGUUUAGAACGUCGUGAGACAGUUCGGUCCCUAUCUACCGUGGGCGCUGGAAAUUUGAGAGGAUCUGCUCCUAGUACGAGAGGACCAGAGUGGACGAACCUCUGGUGUACCGGUUGUGACGCCAGUCGCAUCGCCGGGUAGCUAUGUUCGGAAGGGAUAACCGCUGAAAGCAUCUAAGCGGGAAGCCUACCUCAAGAUAAGAUUUCCCUAGGACUUUAUGUCCUCUAAAGAGCCGUUCGAGACUAGGACGUUGAUAGGUUGGAUGUGGAAGCAUAGUGAUAUGUGAAGCUGACCAAUACUAAUUGCUCGUGAGGCUUGACUAU